AUUGAACGCUGGCGGCAGGCCUAACACAUGCAAGUCGAGCGGUAGCACAGAGAGCUUGCUCUCGGGUGACGAGCGGCGGACGGGUGAGUAAUGUCUGGGAAACUGCCCGAUGGAGGGGGAUAACUACUGGAAACGGUAGCUAAUACCGCAUAACGUCGCAAGACCAAAGAGGGGGACCUUCGGGCCUCUUGCCAUCGGAUGUGCCCAGAUGGGAUUAGCUAGUAGGUGGGGUAACGGCGCACCUAGGCGACGAUCCCUAGCUGGUCUGAGAGGAUGACCAGCCACACUGGAACUGGGAAACGGGCCAGACUCCUACGGGAGGCAGCAGGGGGGAAUAUUGCACAAUGGGCGCAAGCCCGAUGCAGCCAUGCCGCGUGUAUGAAGAAGGCCUUCGGGUUGUAAAGUACUUUCAGCGGGGAGGAAGGUGUUGAGGUUAAUAACCUCAGCAAUUGACGUUACCCGCAGAAGAAGCACCGGCUAACUCCGUGCCAGCAGCCGCCGUAA
RNAcentral lists this ribosomal RNA (504 nucleotides) under uncultured bacterium. Its description in RNAcentral is "partial 16S ribosomal RNA". It matches the Rfam family "Bacterial small subunit ribosomal RNA", at positions 29 to 523 of the family's 1533-position model. The record is from RNAcentral.